Molecule: transfer RNA, 88 nt
Filed under: Cytophagales bacterium
Lineage: Bacteria; Pseudomonadati; Bacteroidota; Cytophagia; Cytophagales
Rfam family: tRNA
About the family: Transfer RNA (tRNA) molecules are approximately 80 nucleotides in length. Their secondary structure includes four short double-helical elements and three loops (D, anti-codon, and T loops).
Source: Rfam by way of RNAcentral
AGAGAGUUGUCCGAGUGGUUUAAGGAGCACGCCUGGAAAGUGUGUAUGCGUCUAAAGCGUAUCGAGGGUUCGAAUCCCUCACUCUCUA